UACGUAGGGGGCGAGCGUUGUCCGGAUUCAUUGGGCGUAAAGCGCUCGCAGGCGGCCGGCCGCGUCGCGCGUGAAGGCCCCCGGCUCAACCGGGGGUGGUCGCGCGAUACGGGUCGGCUGGAGGUAGGUAGGGGGACGCGGAAUUCCCGGUGUAGUGGUGGAAUGCGUAGAGAUCGGGAGGAACACCGGCGGCGUAGGCGGCGUCCUGGACCUGGCCUGACGCUCAGGAGCGAAAGCGUGGGGAGCGAUCCGG
Molecule: unclassified non-coding RNA, 253 nt
Filed under: uncultured Chloroflexota bacterium
Lineage: Bacteria; Bacillati; Chloroflexota
Description: uncultured Chloroflexi bacterium contains 16S-23S intergenic spacer region
Rfam family: Bacterial small subunit ribosomal RNA
Source: RNAcentral